CCUACGGGAGGCAGCAGUGGGGAAUAUUGCACAAUGGGGGAAACCCUGAUGCAGCGACGCCGCGUGAGUGAAGAAGUCUUUCUGUAUGUAAAGCUCUGUCAGCAGGGAAGAAAAUGACGGUACCUGACCAAGACGCCCCGGCUAACUACGUGACAGCACCCGCGGUCCUACGUAGGGCGCAAGCGUUAUCCGGAUUUACUGGGUGUAAAGGGAGCGUAGACGGCAGGGCAAGUCUGGAGUGAAAGCCGGGGGCUCAACCACCGGACUGCUCGUGAAACUGCCAGGCUGGAGUGCAGGAGAGGUAAGUGGAAUGCCUAGUGUAGCGGUGAAAUGCGUAGAGAUUAGGAGGAACACCAGUGGCGAAGGCGGCUUACUGGACUGUAACUGACGUUGAGGCUCGAAAGCGUGGGGAGCAAACAGGAUUAGAUACCCGGGUAGUC
This 440-nucleotide ribosomal RNA is filed under the name uncultured bacterium. RNAcentral describes it as "partial 16S ribosomal RNA". It matches the Rfam family "Bacterial small subunit ribosomal RNA", at positions 338 to 795 of the family's 1533-position model. The record is from RNAcentral.